GAUGAACGCUGGCGGCGUGCCUAAUACAUGCAAGUCGUACGGAAAGGCCCUUCGGGGUACUCGAGUGGCGGACGGCUGAGUAACGCGUGGGAACGUGCCCCAAAGUGAGGGAUAACGCACCGAAAGGUGUGCUAAUACCGCAUAUGGUCUUCGGAUUAAAGCUUCGGCGCUUUGGGAGCGGCCCGCGUACGAUUAGAUAGUUGGUGAGGUAAUGGCUCACCAAGUCGACGAUCGUUAGCUGGUCUGAGAGGAUGAUCAGCCAGACUGGGACUGAGACACGGCCCAGACUCCUACGGGAGGCAGCAGUAAGGAAUCUUCCACAAUAGGGGCAACCCUGAUGGAGCAACGCCGCGUGCAGGAUGAAGGUUUUCGGAUCGUAAACUGCUUUUAUAAGUGAAGAAUAUGACGGUAACUUAUGAAUAAGGAUCGGCUAGCUACGUGCCAGCAGCCGCCGUAA
Molecule: ribosomal RNA, 457 nt
Filed under: uncultured bacterium
Lineage: Bacteria
Description: partial 16S ribosomal RNA
Rfam family: Bacterial small subunit ribosomal RNA
Source: RNAcentral